UUUGGCGGCUUGGCGCCGUGGAACUACCUCUUCCCAUUCCGAACAGAGUCGUAAAACACGGUCGCGGCGAUGAUACUCCUUCGGGGGAAAGUAGCUAGCCGCCAGUU
RNAcentral lists this ribosomal RNA (107 nucleotides) under Candidatus Giovannonibacteria bacterium RIFCSPHIGHO2_02_FULL_48_15. Lineage: Bacteria; Candidatus Giovannoniibacteriota. The record is from RNAcentral. RNAcentral also lists the same sequence under 4 other names.